AUGUCCCGGCGGCGGCCGAGGGGCGGGACGCAGCGGAUGGACGCCGCGAUCGACCACUUCGCCAUCAUGGGCUACCGCAAGGCCGACGUCCGCAGCGUCGUCAACCGGCUGCUCAGGGAUGUGUAUGGGAGGGAUGGGUGGCCGUUCCUGGAGGACAGCUGCUACUCCGUCGUGCAGGACGCGCUCUUCGAGAUGCAGGAGGAGCAGGACAGGCUGCAGCUGCAGGCCGUGCAGCAGCCGCAUGAGGAGGAUGGGGAUGACGGUGGUGGUGAUGAUGAUGAUGAUGAUGAAGCUCAGCAACUGGAAGCAGCAAUGAUGGAGCCACCGUCAGAAAAUGCCAUGCCCGUUGUGAUGGUUGACAGUGAGGCACAACCUUCCGAGACUGUGUUAGCCGUUGAGCAAACAGGGGAAGUGAUCCCCAUGAUCAUGGACCCACCUGCUCGCACAGCUGGGCCGCCACAUCCGGCAUCUACAGGAACUGGUCGCACAAGGCGUCCCUGCUAUGGAUGGAUCUCUGAGUCUGAGAGUGACUCGGAGUACGAAGAAUAUCUUGCACGUCGACAGAAGCAGGUGCAUGUCCCGGCCAAGUAG
Molecule: ribosomal RNA, 591 nt
Filed under: Triticum aestivum (bread wheat)
Lineage: Eukaryota; Viridiplantae; Streptophyta; Magnoliopsida; Poales; Poaceae
Description: partial small subunit ribosomal RNA
Source: RNAcentral